Molecule: ribosomal RNA, 551 nt
Filed under: uncultured bacterium
Lineage: Bacteria
Description: partial 16S ribosomal RNA
Rfam family: Bacterial small subunit ribosomal RNA
Source: RNAcentral
ACUCAAAUGAAUAGACGGGGGCCCGCACAAGCGGUGGAGUAUGUGGCUUAAUUCGAUGCAACGCGAAGAACCUUACCUGGGCUUGACAUGCAUUGUGUCGUCGGUGAAAGCCGACUAGUGUAGCAAUACACGCUUUGCACAGGUGCUGCAUGGCUGUCGUCAGCUCGUGUCGUGAGAUGUUGGGUUAAGUCCCGCAACGAGCGCAACCCUUGUGAACUGUUGCUACCCAGUACCAUUUUGUUUCCAUUCGAAAUCCGGGAAACCAAAUGGAGAUAAAAUGGUGCUGGGGCACUCUGUUCAGACUGCCCUGUGAAACGGGGAGGAAGGUGGGGACGACGUCAAGUCAGUAUGGCCCUUACGCCCAGGGCUGCACACGUACUACAAUGCUCAGUACAGAAAGAUCCGAAAUCGCGAGGUGGAGGAAAUCAGUAAAACUGAGCCCAGUUCGGAUUGUAGGCUGCAACUCGCCUACAUGAAGCCGGAAUCGCUAGUAAUGGCGCAUCAGCUACGGCGCCGUGAAUACGUUCCCGGGCCUUGCACACACCGCCCGU